This 412-nucleotide ribosomal RNA is filed under the name uncultured eukaryote. RNAcentral's name for it is "bacterial SSU rRNA". It matches the Rfam family "Eukaryotic small subunit ribosomal RNA", at positions 592 to 1015 of the family's 1831-position model. The record is from RNAcentral.
CAAUAGCGUAUAUUAAAGUUGUUGCAGUUAAAAAGCUCGUAGUUGGAUGUCUGGCUCUGUGUUGCGGUCCACCGCAAGGUGAGCACUGCGAUGUGGGGUCUUCCUCUUGAAUGCUGCGUGUGCUCUUAGUUGAGUGUGCGUGGGGUUUGGGAUCUUACUUGAAAAAUUAGAGUGUUCAAAGCAGGCGAUUGCUUGAAUAUAUUAGCAUGGAAUAAUGGAAUAGGACUUGGGUUCUAUUUUGUUGGUUUCUAGGACUCAAGUAAUGAUUGAUAGGGACAGUUGGGGGUGCUGCUAUUAUAUGGCCAGAGGUGAAAUUCACGGAUUCAUAUAAGAGCAACUUAUGCGAAAGCAUUCACCAAGGAUGUCUUCUUUAAUCAAGAACGAAAGUUGGGGAUCGAAGAUGAUCAGAUAC